RNAcentral lists this ribosomal RNA (253 nucleotides) under uncultured bacterium. RNAcentral's name for it is "partial 16S ribosomal RNA". It matches the Rfam family "Bacterial small subunit ribosomal RNA", at positions 524 to 776 of the family's 1533-position model. The record is from RNAcentral.
UACAGAGGGUGCGAGCGUUGUCCGGAAUCACUGGGCGUAAAGGGCGCGUAGGUGGCGCGACAAGUCAGUGGUGAAAGUUCGACGCUCAACGUCGAAUCGGCCACUGAUACUGUUGGGCUUGAGCACUGUAGAGGCUAAUGGAAUUCCGGGUGUAGCGGUGGAAUGCGUAGAGAUCCGGAAGAACACCGGUGGCGAAGGCGGUUAGCUGGGCAGUUGCUGACACUGAGGCGCGACAGCGUGGGGAGCAACAGGG